Molecule: ribosomal RNA, 479 nt
Filed under: uncultured organism
Description: partial 16S ribosomal RNA
Rfam family: Bacterial small subunit ribosomal RNA
Source: RNAcentral
CGUACACUCCUGCGGGAGGCAGCAGUGGGGAAUUUUGGACAAUGGGCGCAAGCCUGAUCCAGCCAUGCCGCGUGCGGGAAGAAGGCCUUCGGGUUGUAAACCGCUUUUGUCAGGGAAGAAAAGGUUCUGGCUAAUACCUGGGACUCAUGACGGUACCUGAAGAAUAAGCACCGGCUAACUACGUGCCAGCAGCCGCGGUAAUACGUAGGGUGCAAGCGUUAAUCGGAAUUACUGGGCGUAAAGCGUGCGCAGGCGGUUAUGCAAGACAGAGGUGAAAUCCCCGGGCUCAACCUGGGAACUGCCUUUGUGACUGCAUGGCUAGAGUACGGUAGAGGGGGAUGGAAUUCCGCGUGUAGCAGUGAAAUGCGUAGAUAUGCGGAGGAACACCGAUGGCGAAGGCAAUCCCCUGGACCUGUACUGACGCUCAUGCACGAAAGCGUGGGGAGCAAACAGGAUUAGAAACCCUAGUAGUCCCAUGA